RNAcentral lists this ribosomal RNA (253 nucleotides) under uncultured bacterium. RNAcentral's name for it is "partial 16S ribosomal RNA". It matches the Rfam family "Bacterial small subunit ribosomal RNA", at positions 524 to 776 of the family's 1533-position model. The record is from RNAcentral.
UACGGGGGGGGCAAGCGUUGUUCGGAAUUACUGGGCGUAAAGGGCUUGUAGGUGGCCAACUAAGUCAGACGUGAAAUCCCUCGGCUUAACCGGGGAACUGCGUCUGAUACUGGAUGGCUUGAGUGUGGGAGAGGGAUGCGGAAUUCCAGGUGUAGCGGUGAAAUGCGUAGAUAUCUGGAGGAACACCGGUGGCGAAGGCGGCAUCCUGGACCAUUACUGACACUGAAAAGCGAAAGCCAGGGAAGCAAACGGG